Vespa mandarinia (Asian giant hornet) is the source of this 1142-nucleotide long non-coding RNA. The record is from RefSeq and is a predicted model, not a curated record. NCBI's taxonomy places the organism in Eukaryota, Metazoa, Arthropoda, Insecta, Hymenoptera, Vespidae.
UUCAAUCUUGAAACCAAAAUUACCAUGUUGAAGAUUUAUUAAAUGAUAUUCGUUUGUAGAAACUAAAAUUAACUUCUAAAUAUGAUUUUAAUCGAAAGCUUUUAACACAUCAAGAAAUAAAGCGGAUCAAAUUAUUUUUAAAGUAAAACAUAACAAGUUGAAGAAGCUAUUACUAAAAUUACGGAACAUUUUCAUUAUAUUAUUCAUUCUAAUUAAUUAAUUGUAUUAAUAGUACUACUUACUCUUAAUAAUUAUUUUUAUUAGAUAUUAUUAUUUCCAAAGCACAUUUCAAACAGAUAUUUAGUAAGACGUUUUUAUUUGGUAUAUUAAAAUGUGGGAAGGUCAAAAGAUUUUUAGAAAGAAUAAUAACGAAUCUGAGUCACAAUCGUGCAGAGAAUUGACAAAAUGUUUUGAAUGAAGUAACUCGUUAAUUGGUAAUAUUCUAUCAUUGAAUUGGCCGAUCAUUGAAAUUAUUUCAUUUAAGAAUGAAAGAUGAUGACGUCGAUCCAGAAAUGUAUCAUUAUGCACUAGAUUAUUACUAUACUAAGGAAAUGAACGCAACAAAGGAAUAUUCCAUUGUGCAAUAGAUUGGAUUGGCUUUCAAUUGGUUAUUACUAGACCCUCAACGAGAAUGUUGCCACGAUAUGAUCAUGCUUCAACAUCGUUCCAUCCUCCAUGAUUACUGGAUUUUUAUUGGAUAAGAACGGUUGUUAUUUGUAUAAAAAUAGGAAAGAAAAAUAUCUUAGGAUUCAAGAAUAUCAUUCGAUAAUAUGUAUUCGUCAGUUAGUCGAUAGUUUCUCGUCCGAAAGAUUCAUUAUGCACGUAAAGAUUGAGAAAAGCAAGAGAUCAUCUGAAGGGAUAUUGAAAAACAUAGCUGCAGUAAAUAUGUAUAGAUCAAAGAGAAGAAAUUUAUCUAUCGAAUCUGCUAGUCUAAUAACAAUCGUAGAGGAGGAGAAAAGCAGUUUAUUACAAAUAAUGCUUAAGAAGAAUUGUCACUGAAAAUUUUGUGGAAACUAAUGAACGAUCGUUGAUGAAAGAAGAAUAAGAUGCGGACCACGUUCUUGUAUCAAUCUUGCUAUAGCAAUCUAUCCUCACACGUACGUUUAUCUAUUCAAUGGACCAAUUUAGCGAUAGAUGCUUUG